RNAcentral lists this ribosomal RNA (377 nucleotides) under uncultured soil bacterium. RNAcentral describes it as "bacterial SSU rRNA". It matches the Rfam family "Bacterial small subunit ribosomal RNA", at positions 26 to 403 of the family's 1533-position model. The record is from RNAcentral.
AGGACGAACGCUGGCGGCGUGCUUAACACAUGCAAGUCGAGCGGUAAGGCCUUUCGGGGUACACGAGCGGCGAACGGGUGAGUAACACGUGGGUGAUCUGCCCUGCACUUCGGGAUAAGCCUGGGAAACUGGGUCUAAUACCGGAUAUGACCUCCUAUCGCAUGGUGGGUGGUGGAAAGAUUUAUCGGUGCAGGAUGGGCCCGCGGCCUAUCAGCUUGUUGGUGGGUAAUGGCCUACCAAGGCGACGACGGUAGCCGACCUGAGAGGGUGACCGGCCACGACUGGGACUGAGACACGGCCCAGACUCCUACGGGAGGCAGCAGUGGGGUAAUUUGGACAAGUGGGCGCAAGCCUGACUCCAGCGAAUCGACCGCGUG